UACGUAGGGUGCGAGCGUUAAUCGGAAUUACUGGGCGUAAAGCGUGCGCAGGCGGUUUUGUAAGCCAGAUGUGAAAGCCCCGGGCUCAACCUGGGAAUGGCAUUUGGGACUGCAAGGCUGGAGUUUGGCAGAGGAGACUGGAAUUCCCGGUGUAGCAGUGAAAUGCGUAGAUAUCGGGAGGAAUACCGAUGGAGAAGGCAGGUCUCUGGGCUAUAACUGACGCUCAUGCACGAAAGCGUGGGGAGCAAACAGG
This 253-nucleotide ribosomal RNA is filed under the name uncultured bacterium. RNAcentral describes it as "partial 16S ribosomal RNA". It matches the Rfam family "Bacterial small subunit ribosomal RNA", at positions 524 to 776 of the family's 1533-position model. The record is from RNAcentral.